Molecule: non-coding RNA, 139 nt
Filed under: Deinococcus marmoris
Lineage: Bacteria; Thermotogati; Deinococcota; Deinococci; Deinococcales; Deinococcaceae
Source: RNAcentral
CCACCUCUCCACCGUCCCGCUCUGCUAACCUGCGCGCACCUGAGGAAGGGGAAGUCCGGUGAGAUUCCGGCGCUGUCGCGCAACGGUAAUGCAGAGGUUCUCUGUCAGCCCGAAUGCCUCUCGGGAACGUUGAUCUGAA